This 69-nucleotide transfer RNA is filed under the name Rattus norvegicus (Norway rat). It matches the Rfam family "tRNA". Rfam says of the family: Transfer RNA (tRNA) molecules are approximately 80 nucleotides in length. Their secondary structure includes four short double-helical elements and three loops (D, anti-codon, and T loops). The record is from Rfam by way of RNAcentral. Lineage: Eukaryota; Metazoa; Chordata; Mammalia; Rodentia; Muridae.
GGGGACUUAGCUCAGUGGUAGAGCACUUGCCUAGCAAGCGCAAGGCCCUGGGUUCGGUUCCCAGCUCCG